GCUAGUAACCAAAUGUAAUCUCUGAGCGCCAUCUCCUGGAACACUUUACCACAUCACACCAGCCUCCGUCAUCCUGGCCUCAACAAGGCACUGGGCACCACUGCCGGAAGCUACAGGACAGGAAGGCCCUGGGGGCAGGCAAUGCCUGUUAGCCCCCUGUGCCUUCUGUCCCCAGGGACUCCCUUCUCUAUCUCUACUGCCCAAGUCAAGACCUGUUCUCCCACCACGGAUCAAACUCAUGUCCCCUGUGCUGGGAAACCACUGGACUGCCAGGCAAGUCCUUCAGGAGCUUCAGUCUUUUUUUCUCUUUUUUUCCCUUUAGAUUUUUUUAAAAAAUGUGAACCAUGUUUUAAAGUCCUUAUUGAAUUUGUUGCAAUAUUGUUUCUGUUUUAUGUUUUGGUUCUUUAGCUGGAAGACAUAUGGGAUCUUAGCUCUCCAACCACGGAUGUUACCUGAACCUCUGCAUUUGGAAGGCGAAAUGUGAACCUCUGGACCUCCAAGGAUGUCCCAGGAGCUUCAGUCUUGACACAGGAUGGAAAAGAGGUUGACUUUGGCCACUUUUUUCCCCACUGGAAGCAAGCAGGCAAACUGCAAACCCUGGCUAGGAACGCGAAAAGGAGAGCGCACAGAAAGAGAGCAGGGCAGAGUGGACAUGUGCGCAGAUGGCGCAGUGCAGCGCGCCUGGCGGGGUAGAGCUCCUGUCCAACAGCCCGCCCUCCUCUGUCUGCAUCCUGGUGCACGAGGAGCUCCGGGGCUCAGAAAGACGGUGGGAGGCCUGCUGUUAAGGCCAUAGCUUUGCCAGGUGUGCAUGCUCCCUCAUGGGUGCUUGCGCUUCUACUUGGGUGUUUGUGGAGGAGGUCUGCGGCUGGCCUUGGUUGGGUCUGGGGAGAAGCUCAAGGCUGUGGUCCACGCUUGGAGGUCCAUCGGAGUCUACAGGGAUUGCUUUACAUGAAACCAAGGGACAGUCAGAAAAUGUGCGUAUUUAGACUUUACUGGUGAUCCAGAGAUUGAGACUCUGUGCUUCUAAUGCAGGGGGUAUGAGUUUAAUCCUUGGUUGGGGAACUAAGAUACCACAUGCCAUGUGGUGUGGCCAAAACAAAUAAAGUAAAAUGAAAC
Molecule: long non-coding RNA, 1116 nt
Filed under: Bos indicus x Bos taurus (hybrid cattle)
Lineage: Eukaryota; Metazoa; Chordata; Mammalia; Artiodactyla; Bovidae
Description: lncRNA (ENSBIXG00000022782.1)
Source: RNAcentral